RNAcentral lists this ribosomal RNA (275 nucleotides) under uncultured bacterium. Its description in RNAcentral is "partial 16S ribosomal RNA". It matches the Rfam family "Bacterial small subunit ribosomal RNA", at positions 338 to 622 of the family's 1533-position model. The record is from RNAcentral.
CCUACGGGUGGCAGCAGUGGGGAAUAUUGCGCAAUGGGCGGAAGCCUGACGCAGCGACGCCGCGUGGGGGAUGACGGCCUUCGGGUUGUAAACCUCUUUCACCAUCGACGAAGCCCUGUGGGUGACGGUAGGUGGGGAAGAAGCACCGGCCAACUACGUGCCAGCAGCCGCGGUAAUACGUAGGGUGCGAGCGUUGUCCGGAAUUAUUGGGCGUAAAGAGCUCGUAGGCGGUGUGUCGCGUCGGCCGUGAAAACCUGUGGCUUAACUGUGGGCUU